GGGGACGUAGCUCAGUUGGUUAGAGCGCUGCCCUGUCACGGCAGAAGUCGCCGGUUCGAGUCCGGUCGUCCCCGCCA
This 77-nucleotide transfer RNA is filed under the name Parcubacteria group bacterium. RNAcentral's name for it is "tRNA-Asp". It matches the Rfam family "tRNA". From Rfam's summary of the family: Transfer RNA (tRNA) molecules are approximately 80 nucleotides in length. Their secondary structure includes four short double-helical elements and three loops (D, anti-codon, and T loops). The record is from RNAcentral.